Molecule: long non-coding RNA, 396 nt
Filed under: Mytilus galloprovincialis (Mediterranean mussel)
Lineage: Eukaryota; Metazoa; Mollusca; Bivalvia; Mytilida; Mytilidae
Source: RNAcentral
CACAUGAUUUUAAUCAGAAAAUGUUUUUUUUAUUAUUCAUUUUUGCCAAUUUCGAAAUUUCUUUUAUAAUUUGUCAAAUGUAGUCUGGUUCAUCAAUCAUAUUCUUUAAAGGAACAAGCAUUCUGUGACUUUAGUAUUGCACAAUUCCCUACCUGCUAAAAACUUAUUGUACUGGAACAAAAUGUUAACUUGAUCUACAACUUGUCAUGGUGUAAUCUAUAUAACAAAUAUCAAGUCAAUAUCUUCAAGUAGGACUAAAUAAGGCCUACUUAUUGUUUCCUCUCUAAAAUAGGAAUGAUCUAGUUGAAAAUAAAUGGGGAAUGUGUCCAUGAGAGCAGCACAAGACACAGAUGAUGCCCCUGAUCACAUAACAUAUAAUGUUAUGAAGGAACAAAA